GGCCCGGUCAACCCCCUCCCACCCCCAACCAUCGCCGCUCCUUCAACCCACGUCUUUCCUUCUAGCUCUUCCCGCUAAAACAAUAGACCCCAUAAUAACAACACUUCACCCCAAAACUCGAAACCUCAAUGGCGGAAUUCUCAGUUCGACCCCAUAAUAACCCCUUUCUCCUAUCAUUCGCUUGAUUUCUCAUUCCCAUCUCCUUCGAUUAACCAUCUGAGUUCACAGUGGCACCAAGGAGAGAGAAAAUGUCAAGGUCAACGAAGAGAUUUCCCCUGUUCUUUUCCGUCUCCGCGUCGAUGAAUCGGGCCGAAUUGGGUCCAUUACGAAAUCUCAAAACGACUCGAGCUAUGGAAAUGGAUUGGAUGAAGUGGGGUUUGAUUCGAAUUGGCCGCCGCGGAAGAAUGUUCCUGAUAGAUAUAAAUUGAUCGGAACCCCAGCGCUUGCCUUCAUUAUUUGCAACAUGUAUAAGAUCAUUGGUUGCUAGAAUUCCAAUGUCGCGCCUGUUUGGGUGGAAUUCUUCUGUGGCUGGAUUGGUUAUGCCUUGUGCCAGUUGCCUGGUCGGUGGCUUGCCAAGAUCUUUGGAGGGAGGAUUCUAUCCUCUCACCCCGGGCUUCAAUCAUGGCGCUCUGUAUCUCGAAGGUCUUGGUAGGAUUCUUGCUGCAGUGGAUCUCCCCUGAUUUUGGGAAAGCUGGUGGUCGCGAGGGUAAGAGUUUGAGUUUGAAGCGCUUGAACCCCGAACCAUCUUUUUUGGCCGUUGUUCCAGUCGAGCACUCUCUUUUCUUUGUCAUCGAGCAGCGGCAUUCUCUCAAAAAAGUAGGCGUUUAAUCCAAUGAUUGCCAUCUAUAGAACUUCUUUAACGAAGAAAAGGAUCAUCUCUCUCGAUUAGGAACUCUUAGUGGAGCGGAUGGCGAGAUCGAAGCUUCAUUCUACCAGCAUUACUCUAUUUGAAUGAAUUUUUUGAGUGACGAGCAUUGCAUCGCAGUUGGCCACAGUGUGGAAAGAUGACACUCCAACAGUUUCUUUUCAAGAAGCAUUCCAUUCAUAAUUUGUGUGAUCCUCUUCUGUUUUCCUCCAUGUAGGUAAGAAAGAUUUCCCCAACAAUUGCCUUUGUGUUCCCUGCAGUUUGCAUGACUUUGUUCUCUGUUGAUUUAGGAUUGCCUCCCUGGAAGGUGUAGGAAUAUUAACCAGUGACUUGGCCCUCUCUAGUUUUGCGUUAUCUGAUGACAGUCUCACGUGGACACUUUCGAUUCUUGGUUUGUUUUUCGAAGUGUUUGGAUUGAAUUUCCUAUUUUUCAUAAGGUACCCAUAGAAUUCUCUCUUUU
Molecule: long non-coding RNA, 1325 nt
Organism: Cucurbita maxima (winter squash)
Lineage: Eukaryota; Viridiplantae; Streptophyta; Magnoliopsida; Cucurbitales; Cucurbitaceae
Exons: 3
Source: RefSeq, a predicted model, not a curated record